This 256-nucleotide ribosomal RNA is filed under the name uncultured bacterium. RNAcentral's name for it is "partial 16S ribosomal RNA". It matches the Rfam family "Bacterial small subunit ribosomal RNA", at positions 524 to 776 of the family's 1533-position model. The record is from RNAcentral.
UACAGAGGUCCCAAGCGUUGUUCGGAUUCACUGGGCGUAAAGGGUGCGUAGGUGGUGAGGUAAGUCGGAUGUGAAAGCUCGGAGCUCAACUCCGAAAUGGCAUUGGAAACUACCUUGCUCGAGGGUUGGAGGGGGGGACUGGAAUGCUUGGUGUAGCAGUGAAAAUGCGUAGAUAUCAAGCGGAACACCAGUGGCGAAGGCGAGUCCCUGGACAACUCCUGACACUGAGGCACGAAAGCUAGGGGGAGCAAACAGG